Molecule: long non-coding RNA, 3991 nt
Organism: Cavia porcellus (domestic guinea pig)
Lineage: Eukaryota; Metazoa; Chordata; Mammalia; Rodentia; Caviidae
Exons: 2
Source: RefSeq, a predicted model, not a curated record
GCUGCAGGUUAGCGUUAUCGGGGCCCAUGAAAGGCUCCACGGAAUCCGGCCGCGGGAGUUGGAACCAGAACCCUCAGUUCUAGAGCAGCCAGGGAGCGGCAGCUGGAAGACCGAAUUCUUCAGAAUUCACUGAGCGUCCAUUGGACUAGAUUCCGCCCUUAAGGGCUGGCUCGGAGGAGGCGCCCACACAAGAGUAUUACGGGAAUGAAUGGGGCCGUGGAGGAGCCCACAUUAAAAUCUUAAAAAUUUAGGAGCUCUUUGGAGAGCUCACACUCUUCCUCCAGGUAGGAUGGGGGGUCUGGCACGCAAGUAUGCUUUCGAGCUAGGUGGGGGCCUUCCAGAUCAGAGGUGGGGCUCCUGCCCAGACACAUUCAUGCCUGCAGUCACACAGUACCGGAAAUGCUGAAGGGCAAGACCUACACAGGCUGCUGGAGUUAUAGUGAGGGAAAUUUCCCCUUGGUGUCGUUCAGCUAGGCAACAGAUAAUUGUCAAACAUCUACUAAGAGCCAGGCACUAUUCUUGCUUUGGGGAUUACGCCCCCUCUGGAUUGGGACCUGCAGCCCAGUGGAAGGGAACGCUAGAGACCCAGGGUCCCAAAAGCACUGUGACACCUUCGAAGGUGGCUGAGUGCUAAGAAGAGUGAGCAGAGGAAGCUGUGGAUAGAAAUGGGGUGAAGGGGCCUCGUCUUCUAGAGUGUGAUGGUUCAGCUUGCAGGGUGCGGUGGUAGCCCUGGACUGGAUCCCCAGUAACUUCUCCCAAAAGAAUGAGUGUACAGUGUGACCAGGAUGCUUGGUUCCAUAUGAUAAGGUCCAUAGGGAGACAGGGCUUAGAAGAGAUCCUACAGAGGGAAAGAUGCUGAUGUAGGGAAGACAUCAACCAAACCAGGGGGAGUGAGGAUGGGGGAAAAGUUCAUGGUAGGUCAAAUGAUGCCUUCCCAAAGUUGUCCAUGCUGUAAUCUCCAGACCUGUGAAUGUUUUGUUACAUGGAAAGAGGGAUUUAGGAUUGAUUGCUUUUGAAAUUACAGCCUAGUCAGUUGACUUUAAAAUAUACCUUACCCAGAAGCAUCCAGGUGGGUCCUAUGUGAUAUUGAGGGCCAUAAAAGUAGAAGAGCCAAGCACAGUGGCGCAUGUCUAUACUCCCAGCUACCUAGGAGGCUGAAUCAGCAGGUUUACAAACUGGAGUCCAGCAAUUUAGUGAUUUAGCUAGACCCUGUCUCAAAGUAAAAAAUAAAUAGAGGACUGAGGAUGUACUUCAGUGCAGAGGCCCUGGGUUUAAUUCUCAGUACAGAAAAGAGUGUGAGAGAGAUCAAAGGGAAGUGAGAGAAAGAGAUAGUUUUGAAAGAACUCUAGAGAUGCUGUGCUCUUGCCUUCAGAGACAAAGGAAAGGAUCACAGAUCAAAGAAUCUGUGUACCCUCUUGAAGUUGGAUCAAACCAGGAAGCAGAUUCUCCCCUAAGCUUCCAGAAGGAACAGAGCCCUGCUGACACCUUGAUUUUUACCUUGUGACCUCCCUUGGCCUCCUGCUAACGAAUUUGUGUUGUUUUAAACCACUGAGUUCAUGUUAAUUUGUUCCAGCAGCAAUGGAAAAUGAAUUCAAGGAAGUCAUUUUAGAUUUUGAUCUUGAGCCUACCCCAUUACUCCCCACAGCUCCCUAGGGAGGACAGGUCAGGUGGAUUCUGCCUUCCCUUGUUUGGUGGCUUCUGGGGAAACUGAGGCCUGGACAGUCCAGAAAGAGGGGAUUUGGGAGUGAGGGAGGUGCUCUGUUUUUUUUGUUUUUGUUGUCUUUUUCCUUUUUAUCGGUACCGGGGAUCGAACUCAUGACUGCCUGCUUACAAGGCAGGUGCUUAUGCCACUGAGCUAAAUCCCCAGCUCCGAGGGAGGUGCUCUGAUUUGACUGUUUCUCCCCCACAGCCCGAUGGAAAUCACCUGCAGUGCAGUAGGGCUGGGGUUGGGGCUCAGUGGAUACAUUUGGAUGAUGAGGGCUCCUCCUCUUCAACUCAUUAAUGUGGAUCAUGAAAGGCCCUUGAGGCCACCAUUUGUCUCUCUGUCCCUCUCCCUGUCUAUCUUGCUGGUGCUAUGCCCUCAGACAUCCCAGACUCCAAAACCAUGACCUAAAUAAGUUUCUGUGCAUCUCCAAGUACCUGGUCUAUGGUGCUGUGUCAUAGAAGCAGAAGACAACAAAGCCCAUGGUAAUGGGUGUACCUCCUCCUGUCCCUGAACCUCAUAGGCCCUCCUGAGGAUUGGGUCAGGUGGCCAGAGCCUAAAUCAUUAUCUUCAUUUUACAGAGAUGGAAACUGAGGCUCUGGGCACUGACAGGGAUGUGCACACCUCCUAGGUCCUCCUCACUUAGUGAUGGCUGCCAUCUCUGCCGCCCUCCCCAGUCACAGGCCCUGGGAAAGGAGGGACCCCACAGUGUCCUGGGCCGUGCACAUGUAUGUCCUGAGCUGGUUCUCCUGAUGGCCCGCUGUGUGGUCACAGGCAAAGGCCUUUUCUUUUCAGAGCCACUUUGUGUGCCAAAGCAGGAACAGCACCCGGUCACCUGAGUCCUGACCAAGACAAGGAUCUUCCAGGCACGUCCUUAAUGGGAACACAAGGUCUCGCGGGCAGCAUGGUUCAUGAAACAUUGCAACAGGAGCCCAGGGGACAGAGGCCUGGCCUUGCUACCUGACCUGGAAUGACUCUGAUGGAGUCACCUGAGCCUGCAGAAGUGAGGUUGAUGAAGCCCCACCCCAUCCUUAGGCACCACAGAGAUACUGGGGGGGGGGCGGUGUCAGGAACUCCAUUCAGAGCCAGUGACAACACAGAACUCACAGGGAUAGAAGACCGGAGAGGCACAGGCUCCUGGCCAAGGCCACACAGCUGGGAACCACCCAGAGCUCUUUGCAGAUGUUCUGGGUGGGUGAGUAACAGGGGCCCCUGUUGGGUAGCAUAGAGCUCCUGAACCUGGCAAAGCUCCUGCCCUCUCCCAUGGCCUGACUGUGUGGCCAGGGCUGCACACGAGGACUGGAACUGCCAUCUGUGCUCUGGACACUGCUUUCAGAGUCCCUGGCUGUGAUAAGGUUCUGCCCAGUGCCAGCUCUGCCUGCUGCAGGGACUGCGCCUGGCAUCACACAUCGUCGCCUGCCACUGGCACUGAUAGAGCCCAUACGUGGAGUGGUGUGGGCCUGGCCCCAGCUCUGCCCUUAGCAAAUGCUCACUUCCUUCUCGCCAUUCCCACACAACUUGUCAAGCUGUCACUUGGCAGGGCCACCAGGUCCCUGGGGAGGCUCUGCUGAAUGUCCGGGAGCUUAGUACACACAACCAGCAUGGAGCCCUGCAGAGAAGCAUUUAUAAAAUGGGGUUCGGUUACUACAACUGGCUUUUUUUUCUUUAAACUGAAUUGAACCCAAGGUCUUCAUUCUGAGCUAUACACCAGCCCUUUUUCAUUUCCUCUGUCCUGAGACAGGGUCUUCCUGAGUCGCUAAACUGCCAGGCUGGGGCAGCUUGUGAUCUUACUGCCUCCACUGCCAAGAGCACAGAUAUCGAAGGAAUGUGUCACCACGCCUGGCUUACACCUGGAGUGAGGCUGAGUGGCCUGCAUUUCUGAACCAAGAGAUGCCCAGGUCAGCUCUGUGAAUGACCUCGCACACUGAAUGUGUCCAGGGUGCAGACACACCAACGCUGGCGCCUGGAGCUAAUCUUCAGCAUUAGGUAUUCCACUGUGCUCACAAGGACCUGAAGGUAUCUGGAAGCAAGCUUUGUCAAGAUUUCCUUUGCCUAUCUACAUUAACUCCAAGUAGCACCAGGCUUUCCUGCUUUGAUGUUCUUUUUAGACGAGCUUUUUUUUUAAAAAGUUUGGAAUAACUUUAGAAUUUAAAAAGUUGCAAAGAUAGCACAGAAUUCCUAUAUAUCUUUCACCCAGUACCCCUAACGUUAACAUCAUUAUGUAACUACGGUAGUUUGUUGAAAUUAACACUGGUAUGUAACUGUUAAUAAACUCCUGGUUUAUUCAGA